This 255-nucleotide long non-coding RNA is filed under the name Elaeis guineensis (African oil palm). RNAcentral describes it as "long non-coding RNA (EGUI_LNC056791)". The record is from RNAcentral. Lineage: Eukaryota; Viridiplantae; Streptophyta; Magnoliopsida; Arecales; Arecaceae.
AGCCCAAUUGCUCAAUCAGAUUGAGUCAAUUAGCAAUCCAAUUGCUAAUCGAUCCUCCUGCAAUAUUUGCAUUAGGUCAAACAUCAAUCACAUUGAUCGUUUAAUCUUAGAACGAUUCUCAAUUAUCGAUUAACCAUCUGAUUAGGUUACAACCUCUAAUGUGUGUGACCCUAUAGAUUUGAACCUAAAUCGAUAGCACAGAAAUCAAUUUUUGUACCAGUCGAAGUAACCAUCUAGCAAUGAUUCCCGACAUCC